This 429-nucleotide ribosomal RNA is filed under the name uncultured bacterium. RNAcentral's name for it is "bacterial SSU rRNA". It matches the Rfam family "Bacterial small subunit ribosomal RNA", at positions 355 to 776 of the family's 1533-position model. The record is from RNAcentral.
UGGGGAAUAUUGGACAAUGGGGGCAACCCUGAUCCAGCGAUGCCGCGUGGGUGAAGAAGGCCUUCGGGUUGUAAAGCCCUUUAGGUUGGGAAGAAGGUUGUGCGGGGAUAAUCUGCAUAACUUGACGGUACUAACAGAAUAAGCACCGGCAAACUCUGUGCCAGCAGCCGCGGUAAUACAGAGGGUGCGAGCGUUAAUCGGAGUUACUGGGCGUAAAGGGCGCGUAGGCGGUUGUAUGAGUGUGAUGUGAAAGCCCCGGGCUUAACCUGGGAAGUGCAUCGCAAACGAUACGACUGGAGUAGAUGAGAGGGUGGCGGAAUUUCCGGUGUAGCGGUGAAAUGCGUAGAGAUCGGAAGGAACGUCGAUGGCGAAGGCAGCCACCUGGCAUCAUACUGACGCUGAGGCGCGAAAGCGUGGGGAGCAAACAGG